This is an unclassified non-coding RNA of Cricetulus griseus (Chinese hamster), 338 nucleotides long. Its record names the gene 7SK. It matches the Rfam family "7SK RNA". Rfam says of the family: 7SK was discovered as an abundant small nuclear RNA in the mid-70s but a possible function has only recently been suggested. The record is from Ensembl. NCBI's taxonomy places the organism in Eukaryota, Metazoa, Chordata, Mammalia, Rodentia, Cricetidae.
GGGUGUGAGGACGAUUUGGCUGUGACAUCUUGAUAUUCAUUACCAGAGCUGAUUAUGUUGAUCUAGAUGGCUAGAGGGCUAAGGAUGCCCUCUUUCUCCCUCAUCACCCCAGUGUGUUUCUCUAGGGCUGUAUGCACCAUCAAAAAGGACAGUGUCUUCUAUAGAGGAGGACCACUCUUUGGAUAGUGAUACACAAGUGGCUGUGCUUUCCUGCCAGAAGCUUCAAAUGGCUCUCAAGAAGGAUAUGUGGGAAUAUGUCUAUUCAGGAUUUAUGUAGGAGCUAUGAGUACGGACUGUGGGUCAGAAAGACUUGAUUCUGCCUGUUGCUGGAAGAACAA